Molecule: long non-coding RNA, 874 nt
Organism: Gopherus flavomarginatus (Mexican gopher tortoise)
Lineage: Eukaryota; Metazoa; Chordata; Testudines; Testudinidae
Exons: 3
Source: RefSeq, a predicted model, not a curated record
CCCCAACGCACAUGUUGUUGACCCCGCCUGUAGUAGCACUACAGGAGCUAAUGCAGCCACCCUGCUCCUCUGGCAGCACCAUAGGGCUAGUGUGUUGCCUCCCCCAACUCCCAAGCUGUGUGCGCUAUAGGAGUGACUGCAGCUGCUGCUAGCUCAGCAUGCCUGUGUAUGGGCCAUAGGGCAGGGGUGCUGGCCUCCACCUUGUAUGUGGACCCUGAGAGGUAGUUACUGCCUUCAACUUCGCAGCCCAGGCCAGCACCAUCAGGGCUUGGGCCGUUAUAGGGUGACUAGAUGUCCUCAUUUUAUAGGAACAACGAGGAGUCCGGUGACACCUUCAAGGCUAACAGAUUUAUUUUGGCAUAAGCUUUUAUAGGAUAUGAGAAGAGAUUUUAAAAGGAAAAACUACACCACACAUUUAUUGGACGGUUCUUCCUGAUAAAUAGCAUCUUGAGUGGGAACCUAUCCUGGUUCUUUGUGGCAGUGUUGAGGGAAUAUAAUGGAUUCUAGCUGAGAAACUGCUAAUAUCUUACAAGGCUUGGCCAUGUGAGGUGCUGAGUGUCCCCUGCGCUGGGCUGAGAGGGCAUGCAGGAUCUUGUAAGAUGGGGGACCGGUUGGCACAUGUGAAGUGACUUCCCAAAGCGGUGGCUGUGGCUCCCUACUCAGGAGUAAGACUGAAGGUAGGUCUGGUGAAAGCAGCACCCUUGCUGGGAGUGGGACCUGCUACCGGUGCCUCUCUCCUGUUGCACUGGAAACCUGAAGUCCAGCAGGGGAUUUUCUACUGCAACCGUACGAUUGACCAACACAGCCAAGGACUCCACCCUUCCCAGGACCUGGGGGACUUGGCUUCCCAGGAGGCCAGGGCACAGGCUGGACG